Molecule: ribosomal RNA, 443 nt
Filed under: uncultured bacterium
Lineage: Bacteria
Description: bacterial SSU rRNA
Rfam family: Bacterial small subunit ribosomal RNA
Source: RNAcentral
AACGAACGCUGGCGGCAGGCCUAACACAUGCAAGUCGAAGGAGAAGCCAUCUUCGGAUGGUGGAAACUGGCGCACGGGUGAGUAACGCGUGGGUAUCUACCUCGGGGUGGGGAAUAACCGCUGGAAACGGCGGCUAAUACCGCAUACGCCUUAAGAGGGAAAGCUCCGGCGUCCUGAGAGGAGCCCGCGUUGGAUUAGCUUGUUGGUGGGGUAAUGGCCUACCAAGGCUACGAUCUAUAGCUGGUCUGAGAGGAUGAUCAGCCACACUGGGACUGAGACACGGCCCAGACUCCUACGGGAGGCAGCAGUGGGGAAUAUUGGACAAUGGGCGCAAGCCUGAUCCAGCCAUGCCGCGUGAGUGAAGAAGGCCUUAGGGUUGUAAAGCUCUUUCACCUGCGAAGAUGAUGACGGUAGCAGGAGAAGAAGCCCCGGCUAACUCCGUG